RNAcentral lists this ribosomal RNA (253 nucleotides) under uncultured bacterium. Its description in RNAcentral is "partial 16S ribosomal RNA". It matches the Rfam family "Bacterial small subunit ribosomal RNA", at positions 524 to 776 of the family's 1533-position model. The record is from RNAcentral.
GACGGGGGGUGCAAGUGUUAUCCGGAAUCACUGGGCGUAAAGCGUCUGCAGGUGGUUUCGUAAGUCCACUGUUAAACCUUGAGGCUCAACCUCAAAUCUGCAUUGGAAACUAGGAGACUUGAGUAUAGUAGGGGUAGAGGGAAUUUCCAGUGGAGCGGUGAAAUGCGUAGAUAUUGGAAAGAACACCGAUGGCGAAGGCACUCUACUGGGCUAUUACUGACACUCAGAGACGAAAGCUAGGGGAGCAAAUGGG